UAGCGGGGAUUCCAAUAUUGG
RNAcentral lists this microRNA (21 nucleotides) under Homo sapiens (human). RNAcentral's name for it is "hsa-miR-4781-5p". The record is from miRBase by way of RNAcentral. Lineage: Eukaryota; Metazoa; Chordata; Mammalia; Primates; Hominidae.